Molecule: ribosomal RNA, 253 nt
Filed under: uncultured bacterium
Lineage: Bacteria
Description: partial 16S ribosomal RNA
Rfam family: Bacterial small subunit ribosomal RNA
Source: RNAcentral
UACAGAGGGUGCAAGCGUUGUUCGGAAUUAUUGGGCGUAAAGGGCGCGUAGGCGGUGCGGUAAGUCUGUAGUGAAAUCUCUGGGCUCAACUCAUAGACUGCAUGAGAAACUGCCGGGCUUGAGUAUGGGAGAGGUGAGUGGAAUUCCUGGUGUAGCGGUGAAAUGCGUAGAUAUCAGGAGGAACACCUGUGGCGAAAGCGGCUCACUGGACCAUAACUGACGCUGAUGCACGAAAGCUAGGGGAGCAAACAGG